CUAACUGCUUCAGGAACCGGUACCGGUUCCUACAAAUUGGCCUCAGCUGUUACCAACAUAGGGUCAGAUUACAAGUGGAGUGCAAAAUGUCACUUUAGCUAAUUAAAGCGAUAUUGCCGACAGAGACGGCAUCAGAACCUAGCACAGCAAAGAGAACUCCCAUUCAUUCCAAUGCCUGCAACUUUUAAAUUGCGGAGAAGAAAAGGAU
Long non-coding RNA from Bombina bombina (fire-bellied toad), 208 nucleotides. RefSeq lists it as uncharacterized. The record is from RefSeq and is a predicted model, not a curated record. The transcript has 3 exons. Lineage: Eukaryota; Metazoa; Chordata; Amphibia; Anura; Bombinatoridae.